AGAGUUUGAUCCUGGCUCAGAACGAACGCUGGCGGCAGGCCUAAGACAUGCAAGUCAAGGGGUCCAGCAAUGGACACCGGCGCACGGGUGCGUAACGCGUGGGAAUGUACCUCUAGGUGCGGAACAACACUGGGAAACUUGUGCUAAUACCGCAUAAUAUCUUCGGAUCAAAGAUUUAUCGCCUAGGGAUCAGCCCGCGUAAGAUUAGGUAGUUGGUAGGGUAAUGGCCUACCAAGCCUACGAUCUUUAGCUGGUCUGAGAGGAUGAUCAGCCACACUGGGACUGAGACACGGCCCAGACUCCUACGGGAGGCAGCAGUUAGGAAUAUUGGACAAUGGAGGAAACUCUGAUCCAGCCAUGCCGCGUGAGUGAAGAAGGCCUUCGGGUUGUAAAACUCUUUUAGUCGUGACGAUGAUGACGGUAGCGACAGAAAAAGCUCCGGCUAACUUCGUGCCAGCAGCCGCGGUAAUACGAAGGGAGCGAGCGUUGUUCGGAAUCACUGGGCUUAAAGCGUGCGUAGGCGGAUAAGAAAGUCAGGAGUGAAAUCCCGGGGCUCAACCCCGGAACUGCUUCUGAAACUUCUUAUCUAGAAUUCGGUAGAGGUCGAUGGAAUAUCCAGUGUAGAGGUGAAAUUCGCAGAUAUUGGAUAGAACACCAGUGGCGAAGGCGAUCGACUGGGCCGAUAUUGACGCUGAGGUACGAAAGCGUGGGUAGCAAACAGGAUUAGAUACCCUGGUAGUCCACGCCGUAAACUAUGUGUGCUAGCUGUCGGAGUCUUUAGGCUUCGGCGGCGGAGAGAAAUCAUUAAGCACACCGCCUGGGGAGUACGGCCGCAAGGUUAAAACUCAAAGGAAUUGACGGGGACCCGCACAAGCGGUGGAGUAUGUUGUUUAAUUCGAAGCAACGCGAAGAACCUUACCUACGCUUGACAUACCGGUUGGGAGGAGCAGAGAUGUUCUUCUUCAUUUAGUUGGACCGGAUACAGGUGCUGCAUGGCUGUCGUCAGCUCGUGUCGCGAGAUGUUGGGUAAGUCCCGCAACGAGCGCAACCCUUAUCGUAUGUUGCCAUCAUUAAGUUGGGCACUCGUGCGAGACCGCCGGUGACAAGCCGGAGGAAGGUGGGGACGACGUCAAGUCAUCAUGGCCCUUACGCGUAGGGCUACAAACGUACUACAAUGGCAGUGACAAUGGGCAGCGCGAUCGCGAGAUCAAGCAAAUCCCCAAAAGCUGUCUCAGUUCAGAUUGUACUCUGCGACUCGAGCGCAUGAAGCUGGAAUCGCUAGUAAUCGUGGAUCAGCAUGCCACGGUGAAUACGUUCCCGGGUCUUGUACACACCGCCCGUCACACCAUGGGAGUUGGUUCUACCUGAAGACAGUGCGCUAACCGCAAGGAGGCAGCUGGCCACGGUAGGGUCAAUGACUGGGGUGAAGUCGGAACAAGGUA
RNAcentral lists this ribosomal RNA (1442 nucleotides) under metagenome. Its description in RNAcentral is "bacterial SSU rRNA". It matches the Rfam family "Bacterial small subunit ribosomal RNA". The record is from RNAcentral.